GACGAACCGAGCGAACGUUGUUCGGAAUCACUGGGCUUAAAGGGCGCGUAGGCGGGCUGUCAAGUCUGGGGUGAAAUCCCGCGGCUCAACCGUGGAACUGCCUCAGAUACUGACGGUCUCGAGGGAGGUAGGGGCGAGCGGAACUGAUGGUGGAGCGGUGAAAUGCGUUGAUAUCAUCAGGAACUCCGGUGGCGAAGGCGGCUCGCUGGACCUUUUUUGACGCUGAGGCGCGAAAGCUAGGGGAGCAAACGGG
RNAcentral lists this ribosomal RNA (253 nucleotides) under uncultured bacterium. RNAcentral's name for it is "partial 16S ribosomal RNA". It matches the Rfam family "Bacterial small subunit ribosomal RNA", at positions 524 to 776 of the family's 1533-position model. The record is from RNAcentral.